AGCAAUGGUUUGGGUAAAUAUGAAGCAUAUUUUUGACCUGUAGCCUGCAUGGCUGGUUUCUGCGUAAUUCCUACCACCCACCAGAAUAUCUGAAUGCUGAAUAUGGAAAUAGAGCUUUGCAAUAUCUUGACAGUAGAUACUCGGAUAACUGCGUCUUAAAUAUAGUCAGGGAGUUUAGAAAAAUGGAUGGUGAUAUCUCUGACAGUGUGGUCUCUCUGUGUGGUGCUUUAAUUUUAUCUUGCGUUUGAUUCUUUAUUCCUUAUUCCUUGUCUGUUAGUUAUCAGAAAAGAAAUAUGACAGAAACUUAGGAAUUUUUCUGACAGUCUUCUAGGCUUCUAGGUUAAGGUUUCUUGACUGUAAAGCAUGCAAGCAGUACCUUCAUUGAUCAAUUUGUGCCAUAAAAACUUGUAAACAAACUACAAUGCUAUAUACAAGCCUUUAUUUACAGAAAAAAAAAAAAAAGAAGAAGAAUGAAAAAACAAAACAAAACAACAAACACCACAAAAACAAACAAACAAAAAACAACAACGAAGUCUUUUCAGUCUUCUCUCAGCCUAAGGAAGCAGGUCCCUGGCACAUAGGAAAAUCUUCCUAGAUGAGGCCCAUGGUAAGGUUUGAUCGGAGGGAAUCUGUGCUGCACUGCAGGUGCUGCUGCACUGCACACAGAAGAAAUCUUUGACAGAUCUGGACUCAGAAAAAAGAACAGCACCCUGAAUUACAUGUAUCAUGGGUAAGGGGAUGCUAAGAAAAUAAUGAACCAAAAAGUCAAAAAACAAAGCAAUUCUGAUAGAUGAAGUAUUUUAUAUCUGCGUCAUCGAUAAAGAAGAAUUUUUAAGUAUAUAUAUAUAUUAUAUAUAGAAUUUUGAUUGGAAGGAAACUGUUCAGUUUGAUUUUUUGAAUAAACCUUAAACUAUCUGUAGCUGGAUACUGAUA
This 933-nucleotide long non-coding RNA is filed under the name Anas platyrhynchos platyrhynchos (common mallard). RNAcentral's name for it is "lncRNA (ENSAPLG00000027704.1)". Lineage: Eukaryota; Metazoa; Chordata; Aves; Anseriformes; Anatidae. The record is from RNAcentral.